AGUGAACGCUGGCGGUAGGCCUAACACAUGCAAGUCGAACGGCAGCACAGUAAGAGCUUGCUCUUACGGGUGGCGAGUGGCGGACGGGUGAGGAAUACAUCGGAAUCUACUUUUUCGUGGGGGAUAACGUAGGGAAACUUACGCUAAUACCGCAUACGACCUACGGGUGAAAGCAGGGGAUCUUCGGGCCUUGCGCGAUUGAAUGAGCCGAUGUCGGAUUAGCUAGUUGGCGGGGUAAAGGCCCACCAAGGCGACGAUCCGUAGCUGGUCUGAGAGGAUGAUCAGCCACACUGGAACUGAGACACGGUCCAGACUCCUACGGGAGGCAGCAGUGGGGAAUAUUGGACAAUGGGCGCAAGCCUGAUCCAGCCAUACCGCGUGGGUGAAGAAGGCCUUCGGGUUGUAAAGCCCUUUUGUUGGGAAAGAAAAGCAGCAGGUUAAUACCCCGCUGUUCUGACGGUACCCAAAGAAUAAGUACCGGCUAACUUCGUG
This 492-nucleotide ribosomal RNA is filed under the name uncultured bacterium. RNAcentral describes it as "partial 16S ribosomal RNA". It matches the Rfam family "Bacterial small subunit ribosomal RNA", at positions 29 to 507 of the family's 1533-position model. The record is from RNAcentral.